Molecule: non-coding RNA, 2900 nt
Organism: Klebsiella pneumoniae IS46
Lineage: Bacteria; Pseudomonadati; Pseudomonadota; Gammaproteobacteria; Enterobacterales; Enterobacteriaceae
Source: Rfam
GGUUAAGCGACUAAGCGUACACGGUGGAUGCCCUGGCAGUCAGAGGCGAUGAAGGACGUGCUAAUCUGCGAAAAGCGUCGGUAAGGUGAUAUGAACCGUUAUAACCGGCGAUGUCCGAAUGGGGAAACCCAGUGCAAUUCGUUGCACUAUCGUUAACUGAAUACAUAGGUUAACGAGGCGAACCGGGGGAACUGAAACAUCUAAGUACCCCGAGGAAAAGAAAUCAACCGAGAUUCCCCCAGUAGCGGCGAGCGAACGGGGAGCAGCCCAGAGUCUGAAUCAGCUUGUGUGUUAGUGGAACGGUCUGGAAAGUCCGACGGUACAGGGUGAUAGUCCCGUACACCAAAAUGCACAGGCUGUGAACUCGAAGAGUAGGGCGGGACACGUGGUAUCCUGUCUGAAUAUGGGGGGACCAUCCUCCAAGGCUAAAUACUCCUGACUGACCGAUAGUGAACCAGUACCGUGAGGGAAAGGCGAAAAGAACCCCGGCGAGGGGAGUGAAAAAGAACCUGAAACCGUGUACGUACAAGCAGUGGGAGCACCUUCGGGUGUGACUGCGUACCUUUUGUAUAAUGGGUCAGCGACUUAUAUUCUGUAGCAAGGUUAACCGUAUAGGGGAGCCGCAGGGAAACCGAGUCUUAACUGGGCGUUAAGUUGCAGGGUAUAGACCCGAAACCCGGUGAUCUAGCCAUGGGCAGGUUGAAGGUUGGGUAACACUAACUGGAGGACCGAACCGACUAAUGUUGAAAAAUUAGCGGAUGACUUGUGGCUGGGGGUGAAAGGCCAAUCAAACCGGGAGAUAGCUGGUUCUCCCCGAAAGCUAUUUAGGUAGCGCCUCGUGAACUCAUCUUCGGGGGUAGAGCACUGUUUCGGCUAGGGGGUCAUCCCGACUUACCAACCGAUGCAAACUACGAAUACCGAAGAAUGUUAUCACGGGAGACACACGGCGGGUGCUAACGUCCGUCGUGAAGAGGGAAACAACCCAGACCGCCAGCUAAGGUCCCAAAGUCAUGGUUAAGUGGGAAACGAUGUGGGAAGGCACAGACAGCCAGGAUGUUGGCUUAGAAGCAGCCAUCAUUUAAAGAAAGCGUAAUAGCUCACUGGUCGAGUCGGCCUGCGCGGAAGAUGUAACGGGGCUAAACCAUGCACCGAAGCUGCGGCAGCGACACUAUGUGUUGUUGGGUAGGGGAGCGUUCUGUAAGCCUGCGAAGGUGACCUGUGAGGGUUGCUGGAGGUAUCAGAAGUGCGAAUGCUGACAUAAGUAACGAUAAAGCGGGUGAAAAGCCCGCUCGCCGGAAGACCAAGGGUUCCUGUCCAACGUUAAUCGGGGCAGGGUGAGUCGACCCUAAGGCGAGGCCGAAAGGCGUAGUCGAUGGGAAACAGGUUAAUAUUCCUGUACUUGGUGUUACUGCGAAGGGGGGACGGAGAAGGCUAUGUUAGCCGGGCGACGGUUGUCCCGGUUUAAGCAUGUAGGCUGAUUAUCCAGGCAAAUCCGGAUAAUCAAGGCUGAGGUGUGAUGACGAGGCACUACGGUGCUGAAGUAACAAAUGCCCUGCUUCCAGGAAAAGCCUCUAAGCAUCAGGUAACAUCAAAUCGUACCCCAAACCGACACAGGUGGUCAGGUAGAGAAUACCAAGGCGCUUGAGAGAACUCGGGUGAAGGAACUAGGCAAAAUGGUGCCGUAACUUCGGGAGAAGGCACGCUGGUGUGUAGGUGAAGCCCCUGCGGGUGGAGCUGAGACCAGUCGAAGAUACCAGCUGGCUGCAACUGUUUAUUAAAAACACAGCACUGUGCAAACACGAAAGUGGACGUAUACGGUGUGACGCCUGCCCGGUGCCGGAAGGUUAAUUGAUGGGGUUAUCCGUAAGGAGAAGCUCUUGAUCGAAGCCCCGGUAAACGGCGGCCGUAACUAUAACGGUCCUAAGGUAGCGAAAUUCCUUGUCGGGUAAGUUCCGACCUGCACGAAUGGCGUAAUGAUGGCCAGGCUGUCUCCACCCGAGACUCAGUGAAAUUGAACUCGCUGUGAAGAUGCAGUGUACCCGCGGCAAGACGGAAAGACCCCGUGAACCUUUACUAUAGCUUGACACUGAACAUUGAGCCUUGAUGUGUAGGAUAGGUGGGAGGCUUUGAAGCGUGGACGCCAGUCUGCGUGGAGCCAACCUUGAAAUACCACCCUUUAAUGUUUGAUGUUCUAACGUUGGCCCCUGACCGGGGUUGCGGACAGUGUCUGGUGGGUAGUUUGACUGGGGCGGUCUCCUCCCAAAGCGUAACGGAGGAGCACGAAGGUUAGCUAAUCCUGGUCGGACAUCAGGAGGUUAGUGCAAUGGCAUAAGCUAGCUUGACUGCGAGCGUGACGGCGCGAGCAGGUGCGAAAGCAGGUCAUAGUGAUCCGGUGGUUCUGAAUGGAAGGGCCAUCGCUCAACGGAUAAAAGGUACUCCGGGGAUAACAGGCUGAUACCGCCCAAGAGUUCAUAUCGACGGCGGUGUUUGGCACCUCGAUGUCGGCUCAUCACAUCCUGGGGCUGAAGUAGGUCCCAAGGGUAUGGCUGUUCGCCAUUUAAAGUGGUACGCGAGCUGGGUUUAGAACGUCGUGAGACAGUUCGGUCCCUAUCUGCCGUGGGCGCUGGAGAAUUGAGGGGGGCUGCUCCUAGUACGAGAGGACCGGAGUGGACGCAUCACUGGUGUUCGGGUUGUCAUGCCAAUGGCACUGCCCGGUAGCUAAAUGCGGAAGAGAUAAGUGCUGAAAGCAUCUAAGCACGAAACUUGCCCCGAGAUGAGUUCUCCCUGAGACUUUAAGUCUCCUGAAGGAACGUUGAAGACGACGACGUUGAUAGGCCGGGUGUGUAAGCGCAGCGAUGCGUUGAGCUAACCGGUACUAAUGAACCGUGAGGCUUAACCUU